Small nucleolar RNA from Nycticebus coucang (slow loris), 129 nucleotides. RefSeq annotates it as small nucleolar RNA SNORA40. The transcript has a single exon. The record is from RefSeq and is a predicted model, not a curated record. Lineage: Eukaryota; Metazoa; Chordata; Mammalia; Primates; Lorisidae.
UUAAUAUUGUUAAAAUGUUGUCAUACUUCUGGACAGAGAGUUAGAGAUAGGUGAAAAAAUAAAAAAUCCUCUUUUGCAACCAGAACUCAUCGCUAAGUAUGACUUUUGAUACAUAUAAGAAGGAAUAUU